RNAcentral lists this ribosomal RNA (253 nucleotides) under uncultured bacterium. RNAcentral's name for it is "partial 16S ribosomal RNA". It matches the Rfam family "Bacterial small subunit ribosomal RNA", at positions 524 to 776 of the family's 1533-position model. The record is from RNAcentral.
UACGUAGGGGGCAAGCGUUGUCCGGAAUCAUUGGGCGUAAAGCGCGUGUAGGCGGUCCGGUAAGUCGGCUGUGAAAGUCCAGGGCUCAACCCUGGGAUGCCGGUCGAUACUGCCGGACUAGAGCUCGGAAGAGGCGAGUGGAAUUCCCGGUGUAGCGGUGAAAUGCGCAGAUAUCAGGAGGAACACCGAUGGCGAAGGCAGGUCUCUGGGCCACUACUGACGCUGAGAAGCGAAAGCGUGGGGAGCGAACAGG